UCCCGGCGAAAAGUCCUUCCCCUACCUUCUUCCUUCAUGGUGAGCGAUCUCCAGCCCCCUACCUCCCGCAUCUUCGCCGCCAGCCUCCUCCCACGCGCGCUAGGGUAGCCUGCGUCCUACCAUCUCUGCGGCGCCGCCUGCGACUUCACCAGCAUGUAAAUCCCUGUAGAUGCGGGGAGCUGGACAUGGAGGAUUGCCUCCGCCAGGCUGAGGGGUCGACCUGGAAGCCGCCUUGAAUGACCACAACGGAUCUGGCCAUCAGCGAGUAGGCCGAGCCUCCUGCUCCGGCCACGGCCAUCCCGACGUCGGAUCUGGUGCUCAUGCUAUGUUCUUCUCCUCGUGCAACCCCUCCCCCAUGUUUAUUUUGCCUCUGUCCUACCCCGCUCUGCAUCAACUAACUCGGCGCUGCAUGAUCCUGGGGCAGCGAGGUUGAUCGGAUGGUGUUCGUCAUGUUAGGAAGAUGAGUGUGUAACUCAUGGAGUGCAAUUUGUUGCGUGUUAGGAAGUGGCCGUGACCUUGAUGGGUUGGGGCUCGCCUCCCACACUUCUCUUCCUCGUGUACAACAACCAUGGCGGCCCCUACGUGUCGAAUUGUUGAUGGAGGCUUUAGGUCGUCCUCCUCAAGGAGCUGAGGCUGGCCAUUAAGGAUCUGGGGUGAAGGUCAUGUCAUCUCUUCUCGUGGCUCUAAUGCCCACUGCUUCCACUGCUUAUAUUUUGAGCUCUUUGAUCUGAGCAAAAACCAUGGGAAGGUACUGCUGAAUCAAUAGCAGCAUGCCAGAAACUGAAGGCAGACAGACCUCCAAGCAGCAUUCUGUGUCCUCCCAAAGGACAUGCAGCAGCUGCUGCUUUCCAAUCCUAAACGAGCCGUACUUCUUCAAGCGAGCCAAGAAAAGGUCUCAAGACUUGGGGACAUUGUCUCCCAGACAAGUUUGUAGCAGUUCACUUUUUCUUUGUACUAUUAAUAUUGCAAUUCUUUUAUCCACAGAGUAAAAAAUCCGUACGAUUUUUUAUACAUGGGUGCUGGCCUGCUGGAUUUGACUCACUUUUAUCCACAAAGUCUAAAAUUUACACGCAUUUUUUAUAUAUACAUGGCUGCUGGAUUUGACUCAAAUUACCUUUGUGUCUCACCCU
This is a long non-coding RNA of Triticum dicoccoides, 1130 nucleotides long. RefSeq lists it as uncharacterized. The transcript is spliced from 4 exons. The record is from RefSeq and is a predicted model, not a curated record. NCBI's taxonomy places the organism in Eukaryota, Viridiplantae, Streptophyta, Magnoliopsida, Poales, Poaceae.